CCACUUUGGGUGUCAUUGGUA
RNAcentral lists this microRNA (21 nucleotides) under Brachypodium distachyon (stiff brome). RNAcentral's name for it is "bdi-miR5167a-5p". Lineage: Eukaryota; Viridiplantae; Streptophyta; Magnoliopsida; Poales; Poaceae. The record is from miRBase by way of RNAcentral.